GCAGAGAAUGGGCAAGGGCUUCCUUCCACAAGGUUACCAACCCCAUUGGCAGCCUUGUCGACAUUCAACAAGGCUUAGAAUGAAGACACUUGUAGAUAUACCAAAAAUGCAGAUCCUUAACUUGGAAAUUAAUGGGAGUUAUGUUAAUUCUACAUAACUCACAUAUAUUUGCUUCAGUGCUUCAAAUAUUACAACAGCUCCCUCUAUCUCAGACCAUCAAAGGAUAACGGACUCAUGUUGCUUGAACUCCUUGCUCUUGAGCGAGCCCUCAAGGCCAAUGAGGGGAUACACAUUGACAUCAACAGAGAUGGGACCAUCAUUUCGCCAUACUUUGUGUGUCUGGGCGCAGUGGCCGCGACGAGGGAACGUUACUUAGCCCCAGAGAUUAUCCUGUAAAAGGUGCGGAGGGAAUAGACCCUUACUUGGUCAUGGACUAAUAAAUAGCUGGAUUUUGAAUUUUCGUUGUCCCGGUUUGCUUCCCAUAUGCUGUCGAACGGUCGAACCUCAAAACGAUAAUGGAUAUCUUCUCCGUCUCAUCCACACACCACCACUAUCACUCUUCACCCUUCUCUACUGUACUCGCCGGAAAAUCACAACAAAUCUCCUCUAUCCUCACCUUAUCGCUCCAAUCCUCUCCAGAACCUAACCAACCGACCAACCCUCCACGCCUUUCCGGAGAAAUCCGCCGCCCUCAGACCCUCAAAGCAUCCCCAAGCAAGCCCAACUCACCUGGCCCUAAAAAGAUCUCCACAAACCCACUACGAAAUCUCGUAACUCCCUCCUCCACAACUCCCAAGAACCCAGACAAUCUCGCCAACAAGCUUUGGCUCUCCAGCAAAAUCUCUCCUCCUCUACCUGAAGAAGAAACUGAAGAUGCCGAGGAAGCGCAGAACAAAGAAGAUGAAAAAUGGAAUGUUCAUGACGAUGCUGAUUCUGCCCGUGUGUCGGUCCCUGAAUUCCGACAAGAAGGCAAGAUUUUUGUCGGAAAUCUUCCUCUGUGGAUCAAGAAGAACGAAUUCGCUGAAUUUUUUCGACAGUUUGGGCCGAUUAAGAAUGUGAUACUUAUAAAAGGACACGAAGAUCCUGAGAGGAAUGUUGGUUACGGUUUUGUCAUCUAUGGUGGCCCAACGGCUGCGAAUUCGGCUUCCAAGGCUGUGGAGUUCGAUGGAGUGGAGUUUCACGGAAGGACUUUGACUGUGAAGUUAGAUGAUGGGAGGAGAUUGAAGGCGAGGUACGAGGAGAGAGCCAGAUGGGUUGCUGGAUCGAAUGAGGUGGAGUAUAGGUCUAAGUGGCAUGAAGAGAGGGAUAAUUAUCGCAGGGAGUUCCGGAAGGUUCUUGAGACUGAACCAAAUAAUUGGCAGGCUGUUGUUCAGGCCUUUGAAAGGAUUGACAAGCCUUCUAGAAAAGAAUUUGGGUUGCUGGUGAACUAUUACGCAAGGAGAGGGGACAUGCAUCGUGCACGUGAAGCAUUUGAACGGAUGCUAGCAAGAGGGAUCGAACCAACCUCCCAUGUCUAUACGAACCUUAUUCAUGCUUAUGCAGUUGGUCGAGACAUGGAUGAAGCAUUGUCUUGUGUGAGGAAAAUGAAGCGAGAAGGCAUUGAAAUGAGUUUGGUGACAUACAGUAUCCUUGUGGGUGGAUUUGCAAAAAUUGGUGAUGCUGAAGCUGCAGAUAAAUGGUUUAAGGAGGCCAAAGAGAGGAAUACAACCUUAAAUGCGAUCAUAUAUGGUAAUGCUAUCUAUGCUCAUUGCCAAACGGGAAAUAUGGGUCGAGCUGAGUACUUGGUAAGGGAAAUGGAAGGAGGAGGGAUUGAUGCUCCAAUUGAUAUAUAUCACACUAUGAUGGAUGGUUAUAUAAAUAUAGGCAAUGAGGAGAAAUGUCUCACUGUGUUUGAAAGACUUAAGGAAUGUGGUUUUACACCUUCAGUGAUAAGCUUUGGGUGCCUAGUUAAUCUUUACACAAAGAUGGGAAAGAUUUCCAAAGCCCUGGAGGUCAGCAAAAUGAUGGAAUCAUGUGGCAUAAAACACAACAUGAAAACAUACUCCAUGAUCUUAAAUGGAUUUUUGAAACUAAAUGAUUGGGCAAGAGCGUAUGCUAUUUUUGACGAUGUGGUGAAAGCAGGCCUGAAACCUGAUGCUGUGCUCUACAAUAAUGUCAUCCGAGUAUUCUGUGGCAUGGGUAACAUGGAUCGAGCUGUUCAUACUGUUGAAAUAAUGCAGAGGGAGAGACAUAGACCUACUUCACGGACAUUUAUGCCAAUCAUACAUUGCUUUGCAAAAGCUGGAGAAAUGAGAAGAGCCCUUGAGAUUUUUAAUAUGAUGAGGAAGUGUGGAUGCAUUCCUACUGUGCACUCUUUCAAUGCUUUGAUUCUUGGCCUUGUUGAAAAGCACCAGAUGGAGAAGGCUGUUGAGGUUUUAGGAGAGAUGUUAUUGGCUGGCAUAACUCCCAGUGAGCAUACCUAUACAACCAUCAUGAAUGGUUAUGCAUCCCUUGGAGAUACUGGGAGAGCUUUUGAGUACUUCACAAAAAUUAAAGAGGAGGGUUUGGAGCUUGAUGCUUUCUCAUACCAAGCAUUACUUAAAGCAUGUUGCAAGUCAGGCAGAAUGCAAAGUGCUUUAGCAGUUACAAGGGAAAUGAGUGCUCAAAAUAUUCCACGGAACACCUUCGUGUACAACAUAUUAGUUGAUGGAUGGGCUCGAACGGGUGACGUUUGGGAGGCUGCUGACCUGAUGCAACAGAUGAGGCAAGAGGGUGUUCUACCUGACAUCCAUACGUACACAUCUUUCAUAAAUGCAUGUUGCAAGGCUGGAGACAUGAUGAGAGCAACAAAGACUAUAGAAGAGAUGGAAGCUGUUGGUGUGAGACCUAAUGUUAAAACAUAUACUACAUUAAUCCACGGGUGGGCUAGAGCCUCACUUCCUGAGAAGGCCCUCAGAUGCUUUGAAGAGAUGAAGUUGGCCGGUUUGAAGCCAGACAAAGCUGUUUACCAUUGCCUGAUGACAUCGUUUCUAUCUAGGGCUACUGUUGCCGAAGAAUAUAUUUAUUUAGGUAUUCUGGGCAUUUGUAGAGAGAUGAUAGAGCUUGGGUUGACCAUUGAUAUGGGGACUGCCGUUCAUUGGUCCAGGUGUCUAUGCAAGAUUGAGAGGUCAGGUGGAGAUCUUACUGAAGCCUUGCAAAAGACCUUUCCUCCCGCUUGGAACUCAUAUGUAAACCUUUUGGAUAACACCAAUCAGACAGACAGUGGUGGUGGUGCAUAUUAUGAGGUAGACUGACGACGAUAAUAACAGUUUCAUGGAAAGGGAUAAUCGUGAUGACCAUAGAUUCUGGUUUUAAUUGAUGGGCUAGAGGAGGGUUCUAAUGUAGGGUAUGGAAUUGAUGGUGUCCAGAUGGCUGUCACAGUAAUGAUAGUACCAGCUCCAUCUGUAGGUGGUUUUCAAUGUUGGUACCAUGAAUGACGUCAUAUAUUUUACAAGGUAUGUAUUUUACAUUGUCAGAACACAAUCAUGAAUUCUAAACUCAACUCUCCUUGCAUGGCAAAAUAUUUCUGCUCUCACUGCUUCCUUUUGGUUAACUUCUGAGCAGUUUCAUCAAAGAAUUUCCCUUGGUUGAAAACUGGUAGAUCAGAUUCAAGAACCUGACCUUUAUUAUUCUUCCCAUCCAUAUCUAUAGAGUCACUAAAAUCAUAUUGUUCUAUAUUCAAUAACCACACUUCAUUCAUUUUAUUUUUGCCAGCUAUUAUUGAGGUCUUUAGUCAAUCUGACUUUAAUUCA
Macadamia integrifolia is the source of this 3770-nucleotide RNA transcript. It is a transcript of the gene named pentatricopeptide repeat-containing protein At5g04810, chloroplastic, with no coding region annotated. The record is from RefSeq and is a predicted model, not a curated record. NCBI's taxonomy places the organism in Eukaryota, Viridiplantae, Streptophyta, Magnoliopsida, Proteales, Proteaceae. The transcript has 11 exons.